UCUGUGCUCUCUUUUUGUUUAACUACUUCCUUCCCUUGCUUUGGUGCCCAUUACUUCUUCCAUGGUUUAGGCAUGAAGUUCUGAUGGCAAAGUCAUUAUUUACCUUCCCCUCAUUCCAUUCCAAGCAUCUCUUCUUUUAUUUAAUUUCUUCUCUUGCCACAGAUUCUUUUUCCUUCGCAUACCUUACCCACUGUUCAUUUCUUUUUUGCUGAUUCAAGUUGAAAUUUACUUCCUGACCACUCUUCCCCAUAAAAUUUUUAGUUCAAGUAUCUAUUUGCCAAUUACUGUACUAGGCAGUGGGGACAGAAUACCACACAUAACAGGCCGGUGCAGUGGAGGAGGUAGACAUUAAACAGUGAAUCCCAAUACAAUAUGAUAAAAGAUCAAGCAGCAUUUUAGUGUGCUACGGUAACAAAUAAUUGGGACAUAAUUUAAUUUGGGAAGAGCAGUCAGGAAAAUCCUUCCUGUGGAAAAAAAAAUUAAAUAGGGACCCAAGAGACAGAAUAAGAGUUUUUUAGAUGAAGAAGAUGGAAUAAGUGUGGUCUAUA
Molecule: long non-coding RNA, 548 nt
Filed under: Homo sapiens (human)
Lineage: Eukaryota; Metazoa; Chordata; Mammalia; Primates; Hominidae
Description: HSALNT0063920
Source: RNAcentral